GGCAAAGCCAAAUGGGUCAUCUGAGGGGCCAGCGCCUGAGCUGGAAGGAUCAAACAAAUCUGCCUCUGCCGGAUCUCUGCCCAAAUGUCGGAUAAAGAAAUCUGCUCGGUCCAGUCGCUGGGUCAAACUGUCAAUCUGUGUCAAAUGAGUCGAAUCUCGGACAAAGGCUAGCCAAUUCGUAAUCAUCACAGAUCCUGGAACCAUAUCCCAUAAGAACUGAGUGGCGUGGGUCUGGGCUCCAAUAGUACGAGGGACCACCAAUACUGGAACAUCUCCUGAGUGCAGGGACC
RNAcentral lists this long non-coding RNA (290 nucleotides) under Panax ginseng (ginseng). RNAcentral's name for it is "long non-coding RNA (PGIN_LNC016813)". The record is from RNAcentral. Lineage: Eukaryota; Viridiplantae; Streptophyta; Magnoliopsida; Apiales; Araliaceae.